AUACGUAGGGGGCGAGCGUUGUCCGGAAUGAUUGGGCGUAAAGGGCGCGUAGGCGGCCUGUUAAGUCUGGAGUGAAAGUCCUGUUUUCAAGAUGGGAAUUGCUUUGGAUACUGAUGGGCUUGAGUGCAGGAGAGGUUAUCGGAAUUCCCGGUGUAGCGGUGAAAUGCGUAGAGAUCGGGAGGAACACCAAUGGCGAAGGCGGGUAACUGGACUGCAACUGACGCUGAGGCGCGAAAGUGUGGGGAGCAAACAGGAUUAGAUACCCUGGUAGUCCACACUGUAAACGAUGAAUGCUAGGUGUAAGAGGUAUCGACCCCUUUUGUGCCGGAGUUAACACAAUAAGCAUUCCGCCUGGGGAGUACGGCCGCAAGGUUGAAACUCAAAGGAAUUGGCGGGG
RNAcentral lists this ribosomal RNA (397 nucleotides) under uncultured bacterium. RNAcentral describes it as "partial 16S ribosomal RNA". It matches the Rfam family "Bacterial small subunit ribosomal RNA", at positions 523 to 918 of the family's 1533-position model. The record is from RNAcentral.